RNAcentral lists this ribosomal RNA (253 nucleotides) under uncultured bacterium. Its description in RNAcentral is "partial 16S ribosomal RNA". It matches the Rfam family "Bacterial small subunit ribosomal RNA", at positions 524 to 776 of the family's 1533-position model. The record is from RNAcentral.
UACGUAGGGUGCGAGCGUUCAUCGGAGUUACUGGGCGUAAAGCGUGGGCAGGCGGUCCGCUAAGACAGGUGUGAAAUCCCGGGGCUCAAACUAGGAAUUGCGCUUGUGACUGGCGGGCUAGAGUACGGUAGAGGGGGGUGGAAUUCCUGGUGUAGCAGUGAAAUGCGUAGAGAUCAGGAGGAACACCGAUGGCGAAGGCAGCCCCCUGGUCCUGUACUGACGCUCAGGCACGAAAGCGUGGGGAGCAAACAGG